UACGUAGGGACCAAGCGUUGUUCGGAUUUACUGGGCGUAAAGGGCGCGUAGGCGGCGCGGUAAGUCACUCGUGAAAUCUCUGAGCUUAACUCAGAACGGCCAAGUGAUACUGCAGUGCUAGAGUGUGGAAGGGGCAAUCGGAAUUCUUGGUGUAGCGGUGAAAUGCGUAGAUAUCUGGAGGAACACCGGUGGCGAAGGCGGCAUCCUGGACCGGCAUUGACGCUGAGGCGCGAAAGCCAGGGGAGCAAACGGG
This 253-nucleotide ribosomal RNA is filed under the name uncultured bacterium. RNAcentral's name for it is "partial 16S ribosomal RNA". It matches the Rfam family "Bacterial small subunit ribosomal RNA", at positions 524 to 776 of the family's 1533-position model. The record is from RNAcentral.